CGUUCUUCUGAAGAAGACAGAUGCGAGUCGGCUAAGCGUAUGUAAGUGAACCGAACUGAACGGAUGCUGAACCCACAGAAAGCUGUUUAUCUGGGAGGCGAUGUGUUCCAUCCACCAGAUGGGAACACUGGGGCAGCCUACUUCCACUGUAGGGGUUUUGGUGAGGGCUGGUCCAGAUGAUUGUGUUAACUUUAGAAUCACAAAACUGUAAGAGUGAAGAAGAGACCUCCAGGAUUCCUUGGUCCGAUUACAAUGACAGCUCCUUCGCAGCAACCUUCACAACCUGCACCAGUCACUGUGGAAACCAGUCACACUCCCUCAGCUACUCUCACAACCCCACAAACAAGGUAUGCUCUACUUAACUAAAGUCAUC
Long non-coding RNA from Suricata suricatta (meerkat), 373 nucleotides. RefSeq lists it as uncharacterized. The record is from RefSeq and is a predicted model, not a curated record. Lineage: Eukaryota; Metazoa; Chordata; Mammalia; Carnivora; Herpestidae. The transcript is spliced from 3 exons.